CUGAAAACAGUCCAGUUGCAAUGAAUUCAAGGCCUUGGGAAUGAAAUUAAAACAGAUUUAUGAGACUACACACAAGCAGACUUCAUGUAGACAGGCUGUGAGUAGACACAGUGAUGAUCGCCCCAGGGUGAAUUUAAUGCACAUCGCAUCUGGAGCCAAUUGGACGACAGCAGAACCUUCAAAGUCGAACACGAUCUCUUCUAGGAUGCUGGUUGUGGAAAAGCAGCUGCAGACUUGGCAGGGCACGGCCUCACCAAGAGCAGGAUCCCCACCUUGUCACAGCACCUCUGGAAGAACAAAGGGAAACAUGGGAAAAUAGUGCGCCGGGUCCACGUUGGCCGACAGACCGUUUGGCUCACAUCGGCCCAGCUCGACGGCUCCGAGAUGACUUUGGCCCGUGGGGCUGAGAGGAAGAUGGACACAAAAUAUUAUGAUUUUCAGAAGCAUCUCCUGACACUGUCAUUUUCACAAGGUGUUGCACAACUUUUGCCAGGCUCUCAACAAAUAACCAAUCGCAAGACAAAGAAACGUCGAUAGAUAACAGAAGAGGAGCGCAUUGUAUAAAGUUCAAAACAUCAAAUUGCUGUGCCGAACGAGACGCAGUGGGAGGUUGUACAAACGACGGCUGUGCUUAAUUUAUGGUAUAGACCAGCUGCAUAAAUAUUCGAGUAGAAAAAGUAUGCUGUGUUACAUGUGUGUGACGUUUCCAAAGUAAAUGCAAGGCAGCCCACUCGCUCUUCCUGCCCCCCCCACCACACCCUCCAUCCGCAGCGCACCAUGCGUCCCGUUGAGCAGAUGAGGAGAACACACAGUGCAGCUGUGCACGAUGUGAUGAGAGAUACAAGAAAAAGUUGCUCAUAAAGCACAAGCGGGACGGGCGGCCAUGUGUCAUGUAAAGUGUGUGCCUGGAGGAGGCAGCACAUCAUUUCCUCAACAGGAUGGAAUUUCGUGGCUUUCCUUUAUGAAUCAGUUUAACAUCGCUUAUUUCUCGUUAUGAUUUCCCUCUAAAAGGCAUUUUGUUUUGAAUUCAAACAUGAUAUUCUUGUGCUAUUGAGUUUUUCUUGAAAAUUGCACUUUCUCGUAAAUGAUGUUUUUUCUCUAAUUACUUAUGUGGU
Syngnathoides biaculeatus (alligator pipefish) is the source of this 1115-nucleotide long non-coding RNA. RefSeq lists it as uncharacterized. NCBI's taxonomy places the organism in Eukaryota, Metazoa, Chordata, Actinopteri, Syngnathiformes, Syngnathidae. The transcript is spliced from 5 exons. The record is from RefSeq and is a predicted model, not a curated record.